RNAcentral lists this ribosomal RNA (468 nucleotides) under uncultured bacterium. Its description in RNAcentral is "partial 16S ribosomal RNA". It matches the Rfam family "Bacterial small subunit ribosomal RNA", at positions 28 to 507 of the family's 1533-position model. The record is from RNAcentral.
GACGAACGCUGGCGGCGUGCUUAACACAUGCAAGUCGAACGGAAAGGCCCUGCUUUUGCGGGGUGCUCGAGUGGCGAACGGGUGGGUAACACGUGAGUAACCUGCCCUUGACUUUGGGAUAACUUUAGGAAACUGGGGCUAAUACCGGAUAGGAGCUCCUGCUGCAUGGUGGGGGUUGGAAAGUUUCGGCGGUUGGGGCUGGACUCGCGGCUUAUCAGCUUGUUGGUGGGGUAGUGGCUUACGAAGGCUUUGACGGGUAGCCGGCCUGAGAGGGUGACCGGCCACAUUGGGACUGAGAUACGGACCAGACUCCUACGGGAGGCAGCAGUGGGGAGUAUUGCGCAAUGGGCGGAAGCCUGAUGCAGCAGCGCCGCGUGCGGAAUGACGGCCUUCGGGUUGUAAACCGCUUUCGCCUGUGACGAAGCGUGAGUGACGGUAAUGGGUAAGGAAGCACCGGCUAACUACGUG